Molecule: non-coding RNA, 615 nt
Filed under: unclassified sequences
Description: ROOL RNA
Rfam family: ROOL RNA
About the family: Firmicutes, Fusobacteria (1 example), Tenericutes (1 example).
Source: Rfam by way of RNAcentral
UUCUGAAUAUCUUCAUAUACCGAACCGUGUGCAUAAAGCUCCUGACAGGGCUUCACGGACUGACGUGUGACGGAACGCCACCUAGACAGCUGAUAGGCUGCCUAAGGUAACAGAGCGUCUUAAAAGAGGGCAACUGAUUUUAAGGGAGUACGUAAGACACUUGGUACAACUUCAGGGCGUCAGGUGGGAUAGAAGGAUGAGGGAAAAGGCAGGAUGUUUGGGGCUGUUUCUGUAAAAUAGACGACCACGGUGUGGGAAUAACCGGUGAAUAUCAUAAGGCUUUGCAGGCUUAUGAGGAUAGCGGGAAAAAUGCAGGCAGAGAUUGUGCGGCUGAGCCGAACUAAAGUUCGGGUAAAAAGCCUGACAUCCGUAUACUGGCACAAGUCCGUACACAAUAUUUUAUUAUAAGACGAAUAAUAUAUAAUAUCUGAAUGUCGUGCUGGUGUUGGGGGUACAAAAUAAUCCCCUGUGUACAAGGUUGCGGUGAGAACCGUAAUUCGUAGGGAAGUAUUGGAGUCGCUAUCCAAUGCUCAGACCCUGCGAUACAGUGGCUGAAGAUUCCUGUUUCCUUUGAAGAUACGCUGAAUAAAAGGCGUGGUAUGUGGAGAUGUUCAG